This 253-nucleotide ribosomal RNA is filed under the name uncultured bacterium. Its description in RNAcentral is "partial 16S ribosomal RNA". It matches the Rfam family "Bacterial small subunit ribosomal RNA", at positions 524 to 776 of the family's 1533-position model. The record is from RNAcentral.
UACGAAGGGUGCUAGCGUUGUUCGGAAUUACUGGGCGUAAAGCGCGCGUAGGCUGUUUGACAAGUCAGAGGUGAAAGCCCUGGGCUCAACCCAGGAAUUGCCUUUGAAACUGUCAGACUUGAGUGUCGGAGGGGAUAGCGGAAUUCCUAAUGUAGAGGUGAAAUUCGUAGAUAUUAGGAGGAACACCGGUGGCGAAGGCGGCUAUCUGGACGUCAACUGACGCUGAGGCGCGAAAGCACGGGGAUCAAACAGG